GACGAACGCUGGCGGCGUGCCUAACACAUGCAAGUCGAGCGGGAAUUUACAAAUUGAUGACUAAAGGAGCAAUUCGCUUUGGGAGGGACCUGCGUCCCAUCAGCUAGUUGGUGAGGUAACGGCUCACCAAGGCGACGACGGGUAGGGGACCUGAGAGGGUGGCCCCCCANAAUGGAACUGAAACACGGUCCAUACACCUACGGGUGGCAGCAGUAGGGAAUAUUGCUCAAUGGGCGAAAGCCUGAAGCAGCAACGCCGCGUGUGCGAUGAAGGCCUUCGGGUCGUAAAGCACUUUUCUGAGAGAUGAGAAAGGACAGUAUCUCAGGAAUAAGUCUCGGCUAACUACGUG
RNAcentral lists this ribosomal RNA (349 nucleotides) under uncultured bacterium. RNAcentral describes it as "bacterial SSU rRNA". It matches the Rfam family "Bacterial small subunit ribosomal RNA", at positions 28 to 507 of the family's 1533-position model. The record is from RNAcentral.